GGGGAUGAUCGGUUUCGACGAUGUGAGUUGAGACAGGUGAAGCGGGCCGAGGAUGCAGGGUUAUCUCGUAAACGCUCUCUGUAAACCAAUAAGUGCCGAAUCUAAGCGCACUGACUUCGCUCUCGCUGCCUAAGCAGCCAGACGGUCCGUUAGCCCGAGUUUGCUAUUGACUCGGAAUCUAACGUCAUUUAGAUAGCCACUGCUGAACGUUCUUGUCGCUGGAACGUUCGGGACUUUUAGGCGACUGUGCCCAGGGGAACCGCAAGGUCGAACUGCUUGUUUGUAAGACAGUUCAUGGGGCAGAGAAAUUUCCAGCGCAAACUGCGCCCGGAGAAGCCCUGACAAAGCCACAUCGGACGCGGGUUCAAUUCCCGCCAUCUCCACAG
Molecule: non-coding RNA, 386 nt
Organism: Neomicrococcus aestuarii
Lineage: Bacteria; Bacillati; Actinomycetota; Actinomycetes; Micrococcales; Micrococcaceae
Rfam family: transfer-messenger RNA
About the family: Bacterial tmRNA, also known as 10Sa RNA or SsrA, is named for its dual tRNA and mRNA-like properties. Its role is to liberate the mRNA from a stalled ribosome. To accomplish this part of the tmRNA is used as a reading frame that ends in a translation stop signal.
Source: Rfam